GUUUCAGUUCUUAUUUCUGAUACUUGACUUCAACUGAUCAAUGCAAAUAUCUCCAAACCAGGAUGAAAAGAAGACGGCCUCUGUUGUAGACAGCUGUCCCAAGACUCCUGACCAGACCUGUAUUCUCACCUUAUAUCUCCUCAUAUGAAUCUUCCAGUGUGUCGUCUCUGCUAAAGCACGUGAAACAGCAGGCGAAUGUCUUAAGUGAUCCUACAUCCGGUCUUCAUUUGUUUGCUGGGCUCUCUUCAGCUAAAAGUGAUCCAUAUUCCUUGAACCCUGGUCACUAAGGAAGCAGAAGGCAGAAAGCAGGGUAUCUUUGGAACCAAAACCUCCUGCCGUAUGGCCAGGGGAAGAGGCCGUGGUGGAGAGGAGCAGAGAGAACCUUUCGUCCUGCAAGUGGGUGUUUUGUUUGGAGGAGAACUGGCUGGCUGUCACCUGAAGAAUCACCUGCAAGCCCCGGGAGCUGCCGCGGGGAUACUGAACAGUGGGAACCACUGCUCUGUCGGAUUUGAGGGCAUCUGCAGGUGUUGCAAUGGGGUACUGUGUUGUGUUUCAAAAUAAUUUCCUC
Molecule: long non-coding RNA, 568 nt
Filed under: Equus caballus (horse)
Lineage: Eukaryota; Metazoa; Chordata; Mammalia; Perissodactyla; Equidae
Description: lncRNA (ENSECAG00000060230.1)
Source: RNAcentral